This 253-nucleotide ribosomal RNA is filed under the name uncultured bacterium. RNAcentral describes it as "partial 16S ribosomal RNA". It matches the Rfam family "Bacterial small subunit ribosomal RNA", at positions 524 to 776 of the family's 1533-position model. The record is from RNAcentral.
GACAGAGGGUGCAAACGUUGUUCGGAAUUACUGGGCGUAAAGCGCGUGUAGGCGGCUCUGCAAGUCGGAUGUGAAAUCCCACGGCUCAACCAUGGAAGUGCAUUCGAAACUGCAGGGCUAGAGUCCUGGAGAGGAAGGUGGAAUGCUUGGUGUAGAGGUGAAAUUCGUAGAUAUCAAGCGGAACACCGGUGGCGAAGGCGGCCUUCUGGACAGUGACUGACGCUGAGACGCGAAAGCGUGGGUAGCAAACAGG